RNAcentral lists this unclassified non-coding RNA (249 nucleotides) under root metagenome. RNAcentral's name for it is "partial contains small subunit ribosomal RNA, internal transcribed spacer 1, and 5.8S ribosomal RNA". The record is from RNAcentral.
UUUCCGUAGGUGAACCUGCGGAAGGAUCAUUAUCGUACAACCGAGGUGCGAGGGCUGUCGCUGACCUUUAAAGGUUGUGCACGCUCGAGCAACUCUCACACAUCCAUCUCACCUCUGUGCAUCACCGCGUGGGUCCCCCUUUGCAAGGGAGGGCUUGCGUUUUCACAUCAAACUUGAUACAGUGUAGAAUGUUUCAUUUGCGGUCACACGCAAUCAAUACAACUUUCAACAACGGAUCUCUUGGCUCUC